UAGGGAAUCUUCCGCAAUGGACGAAAGUCUGACGGAGCAACGCCGCGUGAGUGAUGAAGGUUUUCGGAUCGUAAAACUCUGUUGUUAGGGAAGAACAAGUAUCGGAGUAACUGCCGGUACCUUGACGGUACCUAACCAGAAAGCCACGGCUAACUACGUGCCAGCAGCCGCGGUAAUACGUAGGUGGCAAGCGUUGUCCGGAAUUAUUGGGCGUAAAGCGCGCGCAGGUGGUUCCUUAAGUCGGAUGUGAAAGCCCACGGCUCAACCGUGGAGGGUCAUUGGAAACUGGGGAACUUGAGUGCAGAAGAGGAAAGUGGAAUUCCAAGUGUAGCGGUGAAAUGCGUAGAGAUUUGGAGGAACACCAGUGGCGAAGGCGACUUUCUGGUCUGUAACUGACACUGAGGCGCGAAAGCGUGGGGAGCGAACAGG
This 429-nucleotide ribosomal RNA is filed under the name Acidobacteriota bacterium. Its description in RNAcentral is "Acidobacteria bacterium partial 16S ribosomal RNA". It matches the Rfam family "Bacterial small subunit ribosomal RNA", at positions 355 to 776 of the family's 1533-position model. The record is from RNAcentral. Lineage: Bacteria; Pseudomonadati; Acidobacteriota.